GGGCUCACACAAGCGGUGGAGCAUGUGGCUCAAUUCGAAGCAACGCGAAGAACCUUAUCCUGGGUUUGACAUGUACGGAUUAGUCCGCUGAAAGGCGGAUGACACUCUUGUAGUGGAACGUACACAGGUGCUGCAUGGCUGUCGUCAGCUCGUGCUGUGAAGUGUCGCGUUAAGUCGCUUAACGAGCGAAACCCCUAUCACUAGUUGCCAACGGGUCAUGCCGGGGACUCUAGUGAGACUGCCGGUGUUAAACCGGAGGAAGGUGGGGAUGACGUCAAGUCCUCAUGGCCUUUAUGCCCAGGGCUGCACACGUGCUACAAUGGUGCGAACAGAACGAUGCAAGACCGCAAGGUGGAGCAAAUCGCUUAAAUCGCACCCCAGUUCGGAUUGAGGGCUGCAACCCGCCCUCAUGAAGUCGGAAUCGCUAGUAAUCGCGGAUCAGCUACGCCGCGGUGAAUAUGUUCCUGAGCCUU
This 473-nucleotide ribosomal RNA is filed under the name uncultured bacterium. RNAcentral describes it as "bacterial SSU rRNA". It matches the Rfam family "Bacterial small subunit ribosomal RNA", at positions 917 to 1382 of the family's 1533-position model. The record is from RNAcentral.